This is a long non-coding RNA of Alosa sapidissima (American shad), 1014 nucleotides long. RefSeq lists it as uncharacterized. NCBI's taxonomy places the organism in Eukaryota, Metazoa, Chordata, Actinopteri, Clupeiformes, Clupeidae. The record is from RefSeq and is a predicted model, not a curated record. The transcript is spliced from 2 exons.
GAUGCUUUUUUAAUGUCGAAUUUCAUUGAGGACCAGUGACGCUUACAUGUGCGACAAACAAACAACUAUUGACGUCACUUCGGCGACGAAACUGGAACAACGAGAACAGGAUGGAAGUCGAAGUAGUUGUAUUCGUUAUGGUGCUUUAUUGUUGUGCAACUGCAAUUUUUACAUCCAUAUUGGAAAAGAGAUCGGCAUGCUUGGAAAAGGAGAUUGAAUACGCUGAGAUGGAAAGAUCUGAGAGGAGGAGAGGGCUCCUACAACGAAUUAGGGAGCUCGACUUGAGAUUGGCUCGGGUUAGGCAGUGGCACAACAGACGAAGAAGGAUUCUUCGAUAUUAUCGUGCACGACGUAGUUCCACUGUGUCUGUUUGGCUUCGCAACAGAGCGAGACGAGUGGCGGCGGCAAACGCCACUUGAUGACCAACUUGCAAAAGGUUUCUGAAUACCGUAAGCCGUGACUGAAGCUGUAUUGCAUGUGGUGUCAACCUGACUCCGCAGAGGUAUGACCCUUUAUGGAAGUACCACUGUACAUCUCGGGAGGCCUUUAGCAGCAGAGCUUUGUUAAACAGUGGGGAGCUCUUUUGUUGUUACACUCAACGCUGAAAAAGGCGUAGAGUAUGGUAGAGGGUUCCCUUAGUAGGCCUACCAGAGGCAUUUGAUGUCAGUUUUUUCAACUGUCAUGUUAACGUACUGACUGACAUUCUACCCUCUACCUAGUUCUCAGAUUAAUAGAGUAGGCCUACGAGACCACCAAGGGAAUGUUGUCACUUGCUGUAUUAGCUUGUGUGAUGAAACCAAUUCUAUGGAUGGUAGAGUUUAUUUCUACUGGUCAGCAUUGUGAAUACCAGGGACACCAGAUUACUCCGGUCACUGUGCCUUUAUAGGUUUAAUCUGUCAAUUGUUAUGUUCGCUUUGUCAGUGGUCAACAGAAUGAUGUCAGUGUUGAUAUGGUACAACCCAGAAUUAUAUGGCUUGGCAUUACCAGUGAUCAACAAUAAAUGCAAAUGCUGUA